RNAcentral lists this ribosomal RNA (258 nucleotides) under uncultured bacterium. RNAcentral's name for it is "partial 16S ribosomal RNA". It matches the Rfam family "Bacterial small subunit ribosomal RNA", at positions 78 to 339 of the family's 1533-position model. The record is from RNAcentral.
UGCUAAUCUGCUGACGAGCGGCGGACGGGUGAGUAAUGCAUAGGAAGUUGCCCAGUAGAGGGGGAUACCAGUUGGAAACGACUGUUAAUACCGCAUAACCUCUUCGGAGCAAAGCGGGGGACCUUCGGGCCUCGCGCUACUGGAUACGCCUAUGUGGGAUUAGCUAGUUGGUGAGGUAAUGGCUCACCAAGGCGACGAUCCCUAGCUGGUCUGAGAGGAUGAUCAGCCACACUGGGACUGAGACACGGCCCAGACUCC